This 555-nucleotide long non-coding RNA is filed under the name Carica papaya (papaya). Its description in RNAcentral is "long non-coding RNA (CPAP_LNC016430)". The record is from RNAcentral. Lineage: Eukaryota; Viridiplantae; Streptophyta; Magnoliopsida; Brassicales; Caricaceae.
UAUAUUAAUUUAUUUACCUCAUCUGUGAUCUCAGGCCUCUCUCUUGCCACCUCGUUUAGUUGUUCCUCUUCUAUUGGCAGCUGCAAAAAUUAAUAGGAAAGCAAAGCACAUUUUAGUCAACACUCUACACAUUCAUGAACUAUUCUAACUAAGCGCAUUAUGUAUGUGUAUGUGUGUAUAUAUAUAGACUCAAAACCAACAUACAAAAGAAGUCCUUUCUUCUCCAUCUGCCACCUUUAUUGGCCUGCCAACCUUCUUCUUAACUGUGGUUCUCCCUUGUUCCCCAUCCUCCUUAUUCUUCCUUGGCCUUCCCACCUUCUUCUGCAUUUGAGUAGUGCUUUCUCCCGGUGGCACUAUAGAACUACUCUUUUCUUUUGGAUUCUUCUUCCUUGGCUUUGGAGUGGGUUUAUUUGGGUAGAUUUCACAAAGUAUGAAAUCUGUAACCUCGAUAAUCAAUCGGAAGGACCCCUUAGAUUCUUUAUGAAUAUAGUACUGUAAUUCUAGAUUAAUGUAAAUAUUAUCAGGCUUCCUUUUCUAUUUCCAGAUGAAUAUAGU